CCAACAAUCUACAGCUGUCUGUGUAAAGAUGAUCUUGAAUGGUGUGGUGGCAGUGGUUGUGUACACAGACAUUCACUCACCAGGUUUUCCAGGGAGGCCUAACUAUACGUGUAGCUGGAAUGGGAAGACCUAGCUGCAAUAGCUGGCAUUUUUCAUGAAACCUUGGGUCAGUACUGACUGAGUGAAGAGAAGCCAGUGGAAUGCAUCUGGUUUGGCAUUGGUCGUCGUGCAUUCCUCAGUGGUCUGGAGACCAUGACCUUGACAUUCAUAUUUGGUGGCAUAUUUGGGCUAAUAUCAAUGAAUGAAAUGUUGAUGUACGGGUUGAUAGGAAGAAACGGAAGAGAGAAUGGGUUACCUCUUCCGUUUGCAGAAGGAGCACCUUUGCAAAGAGAUGGAUGCACAGCCUGGUACCUGUGCUGAAAGGUGUGUGUUAGGAUGCAGAGCCUUGGACCUGUGCUGAAAGGUGUGUGUUAGGAUGCAGAGCCUUGGACCUGUGCUGAAAGGUGUGUGUUAGGAUGCACAGCCUUGGACCUGUGCUGAAAGAUGUGUGUUAGGAUGCACAGCCUUGGACCUGUGCUGAAAGGUGUGUGUUAGGAUGCAGAGCCUUGUACCUGUGCUGAAAGGUGUGUGUGUGUGAGGACUGAAGUUGUAGCUUCAGGCCAUAGUGGAUCCCUAGGAAACCGUUUGGUGUGAUCUCGCCCCACUGGUCUAACCUGUUGCUCAGGCUCAUGGCUCAAAAGAGGAUCUUCUCUGACUUUGAUCUCCAAGGUCUAAAGCCUGACAACAUCUUACAUAUAAACUCCUUUUGUUCUUAUUAUUGUAGUAUCAUUUUUCACGCCAUAUUUGCACUAAAGAUGAAGUCUUCUGUCCAGGCUGGCUUUGCGCUCCCUAGAUUCUGGUAGUUUCUGCUCCUCACUCAGUGCCCCGGUGACCCGGUGUUUUGGUUGUUUUAAGGCGUGGACUGUCAGUUGGGGAUCAUGUCUGUACAGUGACUUAAAUGUUAGACUGACUAGCUGUUGGCCUGUGAGCUAAAUGACUUCAUACUCCCUACCCCAAGCAGAUUGGGGGGCAGUGUAUUAUUACAUUUGUACACCCUUACCACCUCUUCCUUCACAGAAGUAAAAACAAAGCUUAGCCAAGAUGGAGGAGGCUGAAGGCUACGUGGAGAAUGAAAACACUGAUAUGAUUGAAUAAUGUCUAGACUACCAUUAGUGUCUCCAUCAACAUCAGCUGACAUUUAUAUGUGACUUUAACUUGGUCGAGGCAAACAGCACUCAAGCUUUUGAGCCAGCCGAUAGGCUACCAUUCAUGUUAACUGACAGGCUUGCUACUGAGCUACCUGUUGACACUAACUACAGGGUAGCCAUGCUUACUUGGGACUGUUUGACAGUUCAAUCCGACAUGGUUAUUUCUCCACAUUCUGUUGCUAUUUAUUGUUAUUUUUUCAACGUUUUAAACUACAAUGAUUCCAAAUAGCACCUUUUUAAAGGCAUCCUCUCGCACAACUGAAGUCAGUCCCCUCACAGAAAUGAAGUUGGUUUUGGUUUUGUAGGACAUCUGGGUGGGUUUGAUUGACCACAUAGGCCAGUGUUUUCCAUGUUCAAUAUUGCGACAGGGCUUUAAAACAACUAAAACGUAAUCAGAAUGUUUUAGACUUGAGACUUGUUAUCAAACUUAAGUUAGACUAACUGCUUUGAGUGUUUCAGGCCUAUAACCUAUAUUUUGGUCUGUAACCUUUACUUUCAUGAUGUCCCCUCUGUCCUGCAGCUCAGAGGUGAUCCCCGGAUUCUGGUAGUUUCUGCUUGUCACUCAAGAAGAUUAAAUAAUAAAGUUGUUUUUAUUCAAAUAAUUAUUGGGUUUCAAGAAAACAGUCCUACUGUAAUGCAGUUGACAAAAACAACAGGAAGCAGAUCAGAUCAUAUUUUGAUGAUGGCAUUUUAGAAAGAAGUCUUUUCUUUUAAUGUUUUUUUUUGGCGUAGGCUUUUUCUUAUCACUGUUGAUUCUCAGAACGGAGAAUUCUGACUUCUCCAAAGUGACUCAUUUGUAUAAACUCGGAACAGUUUUUCGUUUGGUUGCAAAUAAGUGAAAAGGAAUGAUAUCACAAUGAAAAUAGACAGAUUUCUGAGGUAUAGAUAAAACCAUGUUGGACUCGGCAGCAGAAAGGCGUUUGUGUUGCAGUACUCUGCUUAACUAGACAGUCUGUGGGCUGAAUGGCUUAUGUGUUACAGUCUAUGGGCUGUGAUUGCUACACUAGGCAGUCUAUGGGCUGUGGCUGCUUCACUAGGCAGUCUAUGGGCUGUGGCUGCUUCACUAGGCAGUCUAUGGGCUGUGACUGCUUCACUAGGCAGUCUAUGGGCUGUGACUGCUUCACUAGGCAGUCUAUGGGCUGUGGCUGCUUCACUAGGCAGUCUAUGGGCUGUGGCUGCUUCACUAGGCAGUCUAUGGUCUGUGAUUGCUUCAUGCAUUUGUUGAUCUGUCCCAUGAAGUUGCCCCGCCUUUCGGGCGAAUCAGUCUGAAGUCACCUGUCUCUUCUGUGGAAAGUCGUUCACAGAUCCCUUCCCCCCUCUGGUCCCUCAUAGUUGCUUCGUAUUGUCAACACAAUGCAACAAGUUUGAAAAUGUCACCAGAAAAUGGGUGACCACAUAUGGCUUCACUGUAAGGAGAAUGUCCUUAUUCUUACAUCAUGUUGUGUACCACAGUAGGGAACUAUAUACAAAGGAAAUGUCAAGGGCCAGUGUGUAUUCAGUACCGCUCUUAUCCGGUAAGAAAGACGUGUUUAACUAGACGUACACUAUUCUAAUUCCUGGGUCAACAACAUUGGAGUCCUGAUCAUUCACUUGUGGCACCAAUAAACUGUGAUUAUAAAAUAAAAAGGUGUUUAUAAGACACAAGUAUCUAUUUUACAUUUUUUUUUCUAUUUUACACUUUCCAUUCUAUAGGCUAUAACUUUCUGUGGGAAAUCAGUGAGACUGAGGAAUGAUUUCCCUGAUAAUGACAUCAUUCUCUAUGACUGUUGCAGUAGCUCUUCAAGAGCGCAAUUUUCCAACAUCGCCACUAGAGGGCAGUGUCUAACAUGUAAUGACUAACCACUGACUUUUCCAUCACGUCACAUAGUGGACCUCUACGCCACAGUCCUUAAAACAAAACACAGAUGCUCUUUAAGCCUAUUUAUAUUGACACAAUGCUUACAAUGGCUGAACAGUUUAAAAGGUUCAUUUUAUUUUUAACAGAAUGAUUUUAGUUUUGUGUUAUGUUUUAUGUUGUUAGAAUGCAUUAUUCAGGUCUGACUCGUUCUCUUGUUUCUUGUUCCUGUGUCACUCGGAAGACUAGUAUUGCCUGUGCACCAUGGAGAAAAUGUAUGUUACAUGAUGCACAUUACCUUUUGAAGUGUACUUUUGUCUUUAAACUUUGGCUUAUUUUUGAGUCAGAAAUGCUUCACUGGUAUUAGUCCAUCACCAGGGGGUGGAAGACUUUGCAGACCUCUACUUGCUCAUCAUUGCUAAAUGAUUACACAUCUUUAAAGAAGCAUUAUGGAGUUUUUGGUCUAAGACUAGCGAGGUUUCCUAGCACGAAAAGCAUGCAAACACCAUUAAUAGCCCGGUUUGCAUUGUUAAGCGUUUGCCAAACAUGCUAACUGGCGCUAAUUGGCACUAACUGGUGGUGUUCCAACCCAAAUCCAAGUCCUACAUAGCUCUAAGCCUGGAGGGGUCAGAGGGAACGACAGGUGUGUUGAUCUGUUCUCCACAUGGCCGUAUUCCAUCACAAUUCAUUUAAGGAAGUUACCAAAAGUAGUUGUUUCCAAAAAAAAAAAACAGAGCUCAAAAAUUGGCAGAUUGUUGCAUAGUGCUGCAUUUAAUCAUUUUGCCAUUUCUCUUUUGUGAGAAAAAGCGAAAAGGACUUUUGUUUUGAAAGCUCUCUCACACUGUUUUGGGAGUUGAAGAGGAGCACACAGCAGAAGAUGAACAUGUUUUCAUCAUCAACCCAGUGGGUCUGUUGGAGGAGAGGACAUUCCACAUGUGUCAAAAACAUGAUUAUUUGAAAGACCAUAAGCCAUCCACA
Long non-coding RNA from Clupea harengus (Atlantic herring), 4059 nucleotides. Lineage: Eukaryota; Metazoa; Chordata; Actinopteri; Clupeiformes; Clupeidae. The record is from Ensembl.